This 69-nucleotide transfer RNA is filed under the name Capra hircus (goat). It matches the Rfam family "tRNA". Rfam says of the family: Transfer RNA (tRNA) molecules are approximately 80 nucleotides in length. The record is from Rfam by way of RNAcentral. RNAcentral also lists the same sequence under 1 other name. Lineage: Eukaryota; Metazoa; Chordata; Mammalia; Artiodactyla; Bovidae.
CCUGGUGGCUCAGAUGGUAAAGCAUCUGCCUGCAAUGCGGGAGACCAGGGUUCAAUCCCUGGGUCAGGA